This 468-nucleotide ribosomal RNA is filed under the name uncultured bacterium. RNAcentral describes it as "partial 16S ribosomal RNA". It matches the Rfam family "Bacterial small subunit ribosomal RNA", at positions 28 to 507 of the family's 1533-position model. The record is from RNAcentral.
GACGAACGCUGGCGGCGUGCUUAACACAUGCAAGUCGAACGGAAAGGCCCUGCUUUUGUGGGGUGCUCGAGUGGCGAACGUGUGAGUAACACGUGAGUAACCUGCCCUUGACUUUGUGAUAACUUCAGGAAACUGGGGCUAAUACCGGAUAGGAGCUCCUGCUGCAUGGUGGGGUUUGGAAAGUUUCGGCGGUUGGGGAUGGACUCGCGGCUUAUCAGCUUGUUGGUGGGGUAGUGGCUUACCAAGGCUUUGACGGGUAGCCGGCCUGAGAGGGUGACCGGCCACAUUGGGACUGAGAUACGGCCCAGAGUCCUACGGGAGGCAGCAGUGGGGAAUAUUGCACAAUGGGCGGAAGCCUGAUGCAGCAACGCCGCGUGCGGGAUGACGGCCUUCGGGUUGUAAACCGCUUUCGCCUGUGACGAAGCGUGAGUGACGGUAAUGGGUAAAGAAGCACCGGCUAACUACGUG